CCUACGGGAGGCAGCAGUGAGGAAUAUUGGUCAAUGGGAGAGAUUCUGAACCAGCCAAGUCGCGUGAGGGAUGACGGCCCUAUGGGUUGUAAACCUCUUUUGUCGGAGAACAAAACGCGGGACGUGUCCCGUACUGCGUGUACCCGAAGAAAAAGCAUCGGCUAACUCCGUGCCAGCAGCCGCGGUAAUACGGAGGAUGCGAGCGUUAUCCGGAUUUAUUGGGUUUAAAGGGUGCGUAGGCGGCCCGUUAAGUCAGCGGUAAAAUUGCGGGGCUCAACCCCGUCGAGCCGUUGAAACUGGGAGACUUGAGUGGGCGAGAAGUACGCGGAAUGCGCGGUGUAGCGGUGAAAUGCAUAGAUAUCACGCAGAACUCCGAUUGCGAAGGCAGCGUACCGGCGCCAGACUGACGCUGAGGCACGAAAGUGUGGGGAUCGAACAGGAUUAGAUACCCGAGUAGUC
Molecule: ribosomal RNA, 459 nt
Filed under: uncultured bacterium
Lineage: Bacteria
Description: partial 16S ribosomal RNA
Rfam family: Bacterial small subunit ribosomal RNA
Source: RNAcentral